ACACGACUACAUUAGAUACCCCUGUAGUCCUAGCCGUAAACGAUACUCGCUAGGUGUCGGCCACGGUGCGACCGUUGUCGGUGCCGUAGGGAAGCCGUGAAGCGAGCCACCUGGGAAGUACGGCCGCAAGGCUGGAAACUUAAAGGAAUUGGCGGGGGAGCACCACGACGGGUGGAGCCUGCGGUUUAAUCGGACUCAACGCCGGGAAUCUCACCGGAUAAGACAGCUGAAUGAUAGUCGGGAUGGAGACUCUACUUGACUAGCUG
RNAcentral lists this ribosomal RNA (266 nucleotides) under uncultured archaeon. RNAcentral's name for it is "partial 16S ribosomal RNA". It matches the Rfam family "Archaeal small subunit ribosomal RNA", at positions 717 to 982 of the family's 1478-position model. The record is from RNAcentral.